GAUGAACGCUAGCAGAACGCCUAACACAUGCAAGUCGAACGAAUAUUGAUUUUCGGAUUAAUAUUAGUGGCAAACGGGCGAGUAACACGUAUCUAACCUGCCCUUGAGUGAGGCACAACUAUGGAGACAUAGCUAAUUCCUCAUACGUCCCGAUAAAUGAAAAUAAUCGGGAGAAAGAUUUAUCGCUCAAGGAGGGGGGUGCGGCCUAUCAGGUAGUUGGUGAGGUAAUGGCUCACCAAGCCUAUGACGGGUAGCCGGUCUGAGAGGAUGUCCGGCCGCAAUGGGAACUGAGAACGGUCCAUACUCCUACGGGAGGCAGCAGUGGGGAAUAUUGGACAAUGGGCGAAAGCCUUGAUC
This 357-nucleotide ribosomal RNA is filed under the name uncultured bacterium. RNAcentral describes it as "bacterial SSU rRNA". It matches the Rfam family "Bacterial small subunit ribosomal RNA", at positions 28 to 388 of the family's 1533-position model. The record is from RNAcentral.